RNAcentral lists this ribosomal RNA (253 nucleotides) under uncultured bacterium. Its description in RNAcentral is "partial 16S ribosomal RNA". It matches the Rfam family "Bacterial small subunit ribosomal RNA", at positions 524 to 776 of the family's 1533-position model. The record is from RNAcentral.
UACGUAGGGUGCAAGCGUUGUCCGGAAUUAUUGGGCGUAAAGAGCUCGUAGGCGGUCUGUCGCGUCGGCUGUGAAAACCCGGAGCUCAACUCCGGGCCUGCAGUCGAUACGGGCAGACUGGAGUUCGGCAGGGGAGACUGGAAUUCCUGGUGUAGCGGUGAAAUGCGCAGAUAUCAGGAGGAACACCGGUGGCGAAGGCGGGUCUCUGGGCCGAUACUGACGCUGAGGAGCGAAAGCCAGGGGAGCGAACGGG